UACGGAGGGAGCUAGCGUUGUUCGGAAUUACUGGGCGUAAAGCGCGCGUAGGCGGCUAUUCAAGUCAGAGGUGAAAGCCUGGAGCUCAACUCCAGAACUGCCUUUGAAACUAGAUAGCUAGAAUCUUGGAGAGGCGAGUGGAAUUCCGAGUGUAGAGGUGAAAUUCGUAGAUAUUCGGAAGAACACCAGUGGCGAAGGCGACUCGCUGGACAAGUAUUGACGCUGAGGUGCGAAAGCGUGGGGAGCAAACAGG
RNAcentral lists this ribosomal RNA (253 nucleotides) under uncultured bacterium. Its description in RNAcentral is "partial 16S ribosomal RNA". It matches the Rfam family "Bacterial small subunit ribosomal RNA", at positions 524 to 776 of the family's 1533-position model. The record is from RNAcentral.